CUCUGCCUAUCCCUUUCUAAACCUCUGCAAAAAUGGCGAUUCAGUGAAUAUCGAGAGAAGAAGACAGAUUUCGAGUGGGUUUUCAUCGCAAACAUAUUAUGAAUUGAUUAUGUAUGGUUUGUAUGGUUUUUAUCCAUAUAUAGUGGUAUUUUGUGAAGAUUUUCAAGCACGGAAGAUAACUGGUUUGCAAAUACGGUGGUUUUCCUGAAAGAUAUUGUCUCUAUGUACGCGAACAUCAUGAGGAAAUAUGUGAAGAACCUAGUAAGAAGUUUUAGGGUUGAAGAAUGUGAUACAUUCUCUAUAACCUGUUUUUCAUCUUGAAACCCAGAAGAAAUUAGAGAUGAGUUUUUCUCAUUUGAAGAUUUAAAAGGGGUUAUGUGGAGUUGGAGUUCGAGAAGCUACAAAAAUUGUUGGUAAUUUGAGUUUGUGAUGAAUUUAGGGUUCUUCAUGAGAUGUUGCUGAUUUAUGGGGAAUUCAUGUAUUACAGGGAAGAUUGAGAAUCUGGUGGUGUUAGUGAAUUCAGAUGAAGGGAGAUGGGCUUAGAAGCUACAAGAAUCAGGGAAAGAGAAUAAUAAUGGUUGUUGAGCUGAGUUUGCAGUUGAGCAGGUGCAGUGGCUAUGAGUUGGAAGCUGAGGUCAAGACCAAAAAUGGUUGUGAGUUGAGCUGGAUGUGGAUGUCGGUGAUUGAAGUCAACAGUACCUGGUGUUUAUAGGUUGAUGUUGAUGCUGCCAGUAACGGUGCAGUAGCAACAGAUGCAAUUGCAGGAGAUGGAGUUGAGGUGUGGACUGAAGUGAUGAAUGGAAGAGAGAAAAGGACUGCAACAGAUGGAUGAGUAUGAAGACUAUAUGUAUGCUUAGGAUUUGGAGCUGUAAGCUAAUGGGUUGAAGGAAUUGAAUUGCAACGGUAAAGUUCAAAUGUUGAGAUUUAGAAGACAACGCUAAUGCUGCCAAUGAUGGAGACUCAGGUGCAGGUGCAGUGCUGAGAAAUGAGGAAGUUGGUUUGAGUAAGAGAUGUUGGUUCCAACUGGUUCCAAUGCGUUUGAUGAUGGUUGUGAGCUAAUGGAGUCUACUAGUGGAUGCAGCGAGAGAUUGUUGAUCUGGCAGAGAAGAUGGUGCUGAUGAGUGGGUAAGAACUGAUGGUGUUGAUGAGUUCGUGCUGCAGAGAAUGGAAGAUUGCGGUUGCAACUGUUGUAGUGCAGUAUUGUGGAGUUGACGGAAUGGUUAUAUGUGGUGGUUCCUGGGAUGGAGGAUAUUUGUAGUGGAGAUGGUUAUUGCAGCUUAAAGCAUUGCAUGAGUUGAGCUGAAGCUGGUGCUAGUAUGUAAAGAUGGUUCAUGUGUUGUAGUUGAGGACAAGAACAAGGUCUGUAUUGCAGUGGUGAUGGUUGUAGCUGAGUGACGUCUUAAUGCAGCCAAGCUUGAUGUUGUUAUGAGAUGGAAGUGCUAUUUUAGUGAGCUGCACGAUGAAAGCAAAUGGCUCAGGCCUUGGCAAUUAGACCAGUCAGCCUGAGCUAGUCUGCCAGAUUCUGGUUACAAAAUUGUUGCCACGUCAGCAACAUGAACCACGCCAGCGAGAUGUCCACCACGUCAGUGAUGGGUUAACUGUGGUUAAUAUUUGCUUGAGUUAAGAGCGAGGGUAUUUUGGGAACAACUAAUCCCGCCUUUUAAAAAAAACUGUUAUGUCGGAUCAAGUAGGAUCAAUUUAUAACCAAUUUACAAAAAUAGGAUCAUUUUAUACCGGAAUUACAAAAAAUAUGAUCAUUUUAUAAAUGACCCAAAGAUCAUUCACAGGACAGCAAGAUUUUGAACAGAAAUGUGAAUCUUCUGGCAGUAGGAUCCCGUAACCAUAAGGAUGUGAAGGUAGGUAAAAAAGAUAUGUAUCCUAAAAGAUUGCAUAAUUUAGACACAUUUGGGUAACGU
Molecule: long non-coding RNA, 1916 nt
Organism: Papaver somniferum (opium poppy)
Lineage: Eukaryota; Viridiplantae; Streptophyta; Magnoliopsida; Ranunculales; Papaveraceae
Exons: 2
Source: RefSeq, a predicted model, not a curated record